ACAGUGAGUAGCUUGCUAUGAGCUGUUUUAGCGGCGGACGGGUGAGUAACGCGUGAGCAACCUUUCCCAGACAGGGGAAUAACACACCGAAAGGUGUACUAAUACCGCAUAAGACCACGGGAUCACAUGGUUCUGAGGUAAAAGAUUUAUCGGUUUGGGGUGGGCUCGCGUCCGAUUAGCUAGUUGGUGAGAUAACAGCCCACCAAGGCGACGAUCGGUAGCCGACCUGAGAGGGUGAUCGGCCACAUUGGGACUGAGACACGGCCCAGACUCC
This 274-nucleotide ribosomal RNA is filed under the name uncultured Eubacteriales bacterium. RNAcentral's name for it is "uncultured Clostridiales bacterium partial 16S ribosomal RNA". It matches the Rfam family "Bacterial small subunit ribosomal RNA", at positions 64 to 339 of the family's 1533-position model. Lineage: Bacteria; Bacillati; Bacillota; Clostridia; Eubacteriales. The record is from RNAcentral.